Drosophila innubila is the source of this 638-nucleotide long non-coding RNA. RefSeq lists it as uncharacterized. NCBI's taxonomy places the organism in Eukaryota, Metazoa, Arthropoda, Insecta, Diptera, Drosophilidae. The transcript has 2 exons. The record is from RefSeq and is a predicted model, not a curated record.
GAAUUAUAAUAAAGAUGCUGUCAAAUAAGUCUUUGUUUUUAUGUACGACCGUAAUACUGACCACAAUUGGAGUUCAUUUGGCUGCUGAAUCUGACGAUACGUAUACUAUGAUUUCAAAAGGAAAUAUAUAUGAAAAAAUUUAAAAUAUAUAAAGCAAUUAUCAUUUGCUAUCAGCCUGACUUGGCAUUGCUCAGAGAAGAUUUUAACCUUUGAUCGGGUUAACGAUAAUUUCAAAGAUAUUCAUUUUGCGGCUAUAUUAUUUGGUUGUUCGACUAUUGUGGACUUUGUAAUCUAAUGGAAAAUAUCCUAAUCAUGAGCUGGAAAAUGUUACUGGGAUGUAUUGGGUACACCACACCUAUCCGAAAGCAGCUAAGAUACUAAUAAUUUCAUAUUUUGGUCGAUUGUAAUUUAUUAAGAUUAGUUAUUUAAGAUUCACAAUCCUUGCCACUUACUAUUAAUUUUCCGUUACAGAUACUUUCAAACAGUUUAAAAUCAUAAGCAUUCAAGUAGAAAAUAUAUAGGCAUCUACUUCUUCAUCUAUGUUUUACAUUUCCAUCUUAUAUCAAUAUGCCUUUAUUUUUCAGAACAUAACGUAAGGUCUAAUCGAUAUCUGAAUAAAAGGAAUCAUUUCGACGACA